RNAcentral lists this ribosomal RNA (253 nucleotides) under uncultured bacterium. Its description in RNAcentral is "partial 16S ribosomal RNA". It matches the Rfam family "Bacterial small subunit ribosomal RNA", at positions 524 to 776 of the family's 1533-position model. The record is from RNAcentral.
UACGGGGGGGGCAAGCGUUGUUCGGAAUUACUGGGCGUAAAGGGUUUGUAGGUGGCCCGCUAAGUCACACGUGAAAUCCCUCAGCUUAACUGGGGAACUGCGUGUGAGACUGGCAGGCUCGAGGGCAGGAGAGGAACGCGGAAUUCCAGGUGUAGCGGUGAAAUGCGUAGAUAUCUGGAGGAACACCUGUGGCGAAGGCGGCUCGCUGGGCCGGUCCUGACGCUGAAACGCGAAGGCGUGGGGAGCGAACGGG